UACGGAGGAUCCAAGCGUUAUCCGGAUUUAUUGGGUUUAAAGGGUGCGUAGGCGGCCUAUUAAGUCAGGGGUGAAAGACGGUAGCUUAACUAUCGCAGUGCCUUUGAUACUGAUGGGCUUGAAUACACUAGAGGUAGGCGGAAUGUGACAAGUAGCGGUGAAAUGCAUAGAUAUGUCACAGAACACCAAUUGCGAAGGCAGCUUACUAUGGUGCAAUUGGCGCUGAGGCACGAAAGCGUGGGGAUCAAACAGG
RNAcentral lists this ribosomal RNA (253 nucleotides) under uncultured bacterium. RNAcentral describes it as "partial 16S ribosomal RNA". It matches the Rfam family "Bacterial small subunit ribosomal RNA", at positions 524 to 776 of the family's 1533-position model. The record is from RNAcentral.